RNAcentral lists this ribosomal RNA (253 nucleotides) under uncultured bacterium. Its description in RNAcentral is "partial 16S ribosomal RNA". It matches the Rfam family "Bacterial small subunit ribosomal RNA", at positions 524 to 776 of the family's 1533-position model. The record is from RNAcentral.
UACGAAGGGGGCUAGCGUUGCUCGGAAUCACUGGGCGUAAAGGGUGCGUAGGCGGGCUCUUAAGUCAGAGGUGAAAUCCUGGAGCUCAACUCCAGAACUGCCUUUGAUACUGAGAGUCUUGAGUACGGGAGAGGUGAGUGGAACUGCGAGUGUAGAGGUGAAAUUCGUAGAUAUUCGCAAGAACACCAGUGGCGAAGGCGGCUCACUGGCCCGUUACUGACGCUGAGGCACGAAAGCGUGGGGAGCAAACAGG